Molecule: ribosomal RNA, 655 nt
Filed under: uncultured bacterium
Lineage: Bacteria
Description: bacterial SSU rRNA
Rfam family: Bacterial small subunit ribosomal RNA
Source: RNAcentral
GUAACACGUAAAGAACCUGCCCUCAGGUCUGGGAUAACCACGAGAAAUCGGGGCUAAUACCGGAUGGGUCAUCGGACCGCAUGGUCCGAGGAUGAAAGGCGCUUCGGCGUCGCCUGGGGAUGGCUUUGCGGUGCAUUAGCUAGUUGGUGGGGUAAUGGCCCACCAAGGCGACGAUGCAUAGCCGACCUGAGAGGGUGAUCGGCCACACUGGGACUGAGACACGGCCCAGACUCCUACGGGAGGCAGCAGUAGGGAACCUUCCACAAUGGACGAAAGUCUGAUGGAGCAACGCCGCGUGAACGAUGAAGGCCUUCGGGUCGUAAAGUUCUGUUGUAAGGGAAGAACAAGUGCCGCAGGCAAUGGCGGCACCUUGACGGUACCCUGCGAGAAAGCCACGGCUAACUACGUGCCAGCAGCCGCGGUAAUACGUAGGUGGCAAGCGUUGUCCGGAAUUAUUGGGCGUAAAGCGCGCGCAGGCGGCCUCUUAAGUCUGAUGUGAAAGCCCCCGGCUCAACCGGGGAGGGCCAUUGGAAACUGGGAGGCUUGAGUAUAGGAGAGAAGAGUGGAAUUCCACGUGUAGCGGUGAAAUGCGUAGAGAUGUGGAGGAACACCAGUGGCGAAGGCGACUCUUUGGCCUAUAACUGACGCUGAGGCG